AUUGAACGCUGGCGGCAGGCCUAACACAUGCAAGUCGAACGAGUGGCGGACGGGUGAGUAAUGUCUGGGAAACUGCCCGAUGGAGGGGGAUAACUACUGGAAACGGUAGCUAAUACCGCAUACCAUCGGAUGUGCCCAGAUGGGAUUAGCUAGUAGGUGGGGUAACGGCUCACCUAGGCGACGAUCCCUAGCUGGUCUGAGAGGAUGACAAGCCAGACUGGAACUGAGAACCGGUCCAGACUCCGACGGGAGGAAGCAGGUGGGAAUAUUGCGCAAGGGGCGAAAGCCUGAUGCAGCAAUGCCGCGGGUGUGAAGAAGGCCGGCGGGUUGUAAAGUACUUUCAGCGGGGAGGCGUUACGCGCAGAAGAAGCAUCGGCUAACUCCGUGCCAGCAGCCGCGGUAAUAC
Molecule: ribosomal RNA, 406 nt
Filed under: uncultured bacterium
Lineage: Bacteria
Description: partial 16S ribosomal RNA
Rfam family: Bacterial small subunit ribosomal RNA
Source: RNAcentral